This 382-nucleotide ribosomal RNA is filed under the name uncultured bacterium. RNAcentral describes it as "bacterial SSU rRNA". It matches the Rfam family "Bacterial small subunit ribosomal RNA", at positions 29 to 417 of the family's 1533-position model. The record is from RNAcentral.
AUUGAACGCUGGCGGCAUGCCUUACACAUGCAAGUCGAACGGCAGCACGGGAGCAAUCCUGGUGGCGAGUGGCGAACGGGUGAGUAAUACAUCGGAACGUGCCCAGUAGUGGGGGAUAACCCGGCGAAAGCCGGACUAAUACCGCAUACGACCUACGGGUGAAAGCAGGGGAUCGCAAGACCUUGCGCUAUUGGAGCGGCCGAUGUCAGAUUAGCUUGUUGGGGGUAAAAGCCUACCAAGGCAACGAUCUGUAGCUGGUCUGAGAGGACGACCAGCCACACUGGGACUGAGACACGGCCCAGACUCCUACGGGAGCAGCAGUGGGAAUUUGGACAAUGGGCGCAAGCCUGAUCCAGCCAUGCCGCGUGCGGGAAGAAGGCCU